AUUGAACGCUGGCGGCAGGCCUAACACAUGCGAGUCGAGCGGAUGAAGGGAGCUUGCUCCUGGAUUCAGCGGCGGACGGGUGAGUAAUGCCUAGGAAUCUGCCUGGUAGUGGGGGAUAACGUCCGGAAACGGGCGCUAAUACCGCAUACGUCCUGAGGGAGAAAGUGGGGGAUCUUCGGACCUCACGCUAUCAGAUGAGCCUAGGUCGGAUUAGCUAGUUGGUGGGGUAAAGGCCUACCAAGGCGACGAUCCGUAACUGGUCUGAGAGGAUGAUCAGUCGCACUGGAACUGAGACACGGUCCAGACUCCUACGGGAGGCAGCAGUGGGGAAUAUUGGACAAUGGGCGAAAGCCUGAUCCAGCCAUGCCGCGUGUGUGAAGAAGGUCUUCGGAUUGUAAAGCACUUUAAGUUGGGAGGAAGGGCAGUAAGUUAAUACCUUGCUGUUUUGACGUUACCAACAGAAUAAGCACCGGCUAACUUCGUG
RNAcentral lists this ribosomal RNA (484 nucleotides) under uncultured bacterium. RNAcentral's name for it is "partial 16S ribosomal RNA". It matches the Rfam family "Bacterial small subunit ribosomal RNA", at positions 30 to 507 of the family's 1533-position model. The record is from RNAcentral.